AUGAUGUAAAGCUGGUUAAACCCAUGAUCCUGUAUAGCAUCAACAAUCUUCUUCAAAUCAAAUCCACCUCUAGAAGUCUCAAGCACAGUUCCACCUCUCUUAUGCCAAUCAUCAACCAUCUUCGGAUUCAAUCGUACCGGGUCAUAGCUAUAAAACCCUCGAUAACCCGCUUUAAUCCCAAAAAUCUCACGAACGCCGUACAAUUCCCACAACCCAACCACCAAUUCCCGAAUCACCGUAUUCAUCCCAGGGCACAAACCCCCACAGGUAACAAUCGCAGCUCGUACAGUAACAGGAUCGAAGAGAAUCUGAUUCCGAGGUCCUGCUCUGUGGUAAGCUAAUGGCGGAUUAGGUGAAGGGAAAGUUCCAGAGAGAUCUAGAACAUUGUGACGGAGAACGAUAUCGGAUGAGGUAAGGAAGAAUCCGGGGAAAGUACGGAAAAAGGGGUUAACGGCAAGUGGGUUAGUGUGGGUUUUGAUUUGGGAAUUGUAGUUUGUGAGAUGCGAUAUGUGUUGUAGCUGAACAUUCGAGAUGGAAAUUGAAGGAGAUGAAUUCGACAUGAUCGAGAAAUAUCGAUUGCUUGUUGAAUCCUUCGAAUAUCGAAGUUUUCAUAGAAGCUAAAGAUGAAACGUGGCGGGUAAG
This 642-nucleotide unclassified non-coding RNA is filed under the name Hevea brasiliensis (rubber tree). Lineage: Eukaryota; Viridiplantae; Streptophyta; Magnoliopsida; Malpighiales; Euphorbiaceae. The record is from RNAcentral.